This 506-nucleotide ribosomal RNA is filed under the name uncultured bacterium. RNAcentral describes it as "bacterial SSU rRNA". It matches the Rfam family "Bacterial small subunit ribosomal RNA", at positions 28 to 525 of the family's 1533-position model. The record is from RNAcentral.
GACGAACGCUGGCGGCGUGGAUUAGGCAUGCAAGUCGAACGGUAUCAUCCUUUCGGGGGUGAGAGAGUGGCGAACUGGUGAGUAACACGUAGGUUAUCUACCCUCAAGACGGGGACAACCCAGGGAAACUUGGGCUAAUACCGGAUGUGAGCAACUUUUAGUUGUUUGAAAGGUGGCGUAAGCUGUCGCUUGGGGAUGAGCCUGCGUCCUAUUAGUUAGUUGGUGAGGUAACGGCUCACCUAGGCAAUGAUAGGUAGGCGGCCUUAACGGGUGGUCGCCCACACUGGGAUUGAGAUACGGCCCAGACUCCUACGGGAGGCAGCAGUCGAGAAUAGUCUACAAUGGUCGGAAGACUGAUAGUGCGACGCCGCGUGAACGAUGAAUCCCUUCGGGGUGUAAAGUUCUUUUAUAUGUGAGCAGUGCUUCUUAUAUUAACAGUAUGGGGAGAGAGAUAUUAGCAUAUGAAUAAGCAACGGCUAACUCCGUGCCAGCAGCCGACGGUAAAA